UACGUAGGGGGCAAGCGUUGUCCGGAUUUAUUGGGCGUAAAGAGCGUGUAGGCGGUUGGGUAGGUCCGUUGUGAAAACUCGAGGCUCAACCUCGAGACGCCGAUGGAAACCCCCCAGCUAGAGUCCGGAAGAGGAGAGUGGAAUUCCUGGUGUAGCGGUGAAAUGCGCAGAUAUCAGGAGGAACACCGGUGGUGUAGACGGCUUUCUGGACCGUAACUGACGCUGAAACACGAAAGCGUGGGUAGCAAACAGG
Molecule: ribosomal RNA, 253 nt
Filed under: uncultured bacterium
Lineage: Bacteria
Description: partial 16S ribosomal RNA
Rfam family: Bacterial small subunit ribosomal RNA
Source: RNAcentral